RNAcentral lists this ribosomal RNA (441 nucleotides) under uncultured bacterium. RNAcentral describes it as "SSU rRNA". It matches the Rfam family "Bacterial small subunit ribosomal RNA", at positions 26 to 518 of the family's 1533-position model. The record is from RNAcentral.
AGAACGAACGCUGGCGGCAGGCUUAACACAUGCAAGUCGAACGGUUGUAGCAAUACAGCAGUGGCAGACGGGUGAGUAACACGUGGGAACCUUCCUAGGGGUACGGAACAACUCAGGGAAACUUGAGCUAAUACCGUAUACGUCCGUGAGGAGAAAGUUUUAACGCCCCUAGACGGGCCCGCGUUCGAUUAGCUGGUUGGUGGGGUAACGGCCUACCAAGGCGACGAUCGAUAGCUGGUCUCAGAGGAUGAUCAGCCAGACUGGGACUGAGACACGGCCCAGACUCCUACGGGAGGCAGCAGUUAGGAAUUUUGGGCAAUGGGCGCAAGCCUGACCCAGCAACGCCGCGUGGGUGACGAAGGCCUUCGGUUGUAAGCCUUUCUGGGGGAGAUGAUGACGGUACCCCAGGAAGAGCACCGGCAACUACGUGCCAGCAGCCGC